Molecule: small nucleolar RNA, 138 nt
Organism: Ochotona princeps (American pika)
Lineage: Eukaryota; Metazoa; Chordata; Mammalia; Lagomorpha; Ochotonidae
Gene: SNORA74
Rfam family: Small nucleolar RNA SNORA74
About the family: U19 belongs to the H/ACA class of snoRNAs. snoRNAs bind a number of proteins (including dyskerin, Gar1p and Nop10p in the case of the H/ACA class) to form snoRNP complexes. This class are thought to guide the sites of modification of uridines to pseudouridines by forming direct base pairing interactions with substrate RNAs. Targets may include ribosomal and spliceosomal RNAs but the exact functions of many snoRNAs, including U19, are not confirmed.
Source: Ensembl
CCCAGCUGUAGGCAACUGCCUACACUGCCUUGUACCUGAGCAAGUGUUUCACUGCUGGGGAAAAGCAUUUAAUAGUUCAUGGGCAUGGGCAGGUUUAAUGCCAAAUUUAUGUUAACCAUACCAGUGUGCUAGCAUAGU